RNAcentral lists this ribosomal RNA (254 nucleotides) under uncultured bacterium. Its description in RNAcentral is "partial 16S ribosomal RNA". It matches the Rfam family "Bacterial small subunit ribosomal RNA", at positions 524 to 776 of the family's 1533-position model. The record is from RNAcentral.
UACAGAGGGUGCGAGCGUUAAUCGGAAUUACUGGGCGUAAAGCGUGCGUAGACGGUAGCGUAAGUCAGAUGUGAAAGCCCCGGGCUCAACCUGGGAAUUGCAUUUGAGACUGCUCUGCUCGGGUGCGGAAGAGGGAAGCGGAAUUUCCGGUGUAGCGGUGAAAUGCGUAGAUAUCGGAAGGAACACCAGUGGCGAAAGCGGCUUCCUGGUCCGACACCGACGUUCAGGCACGAAAAGCGUGGGGAGCAAACAGG